UACGUAGGUGGCAAGCGUUGUCCGGAUUUACUGGGCGUAAAGAGCGCGCAGGCGGUCGUUCAAGUCGCGUGUGAAAGCCCCGGCCUCAACUGGGAGGGUCAGCGCGAUACUGAUCGACUCGAAGGCAGGAGAGGGUAGUGGAAUUCCCGGUGUAGUGGUGAAAUGCGUAGAUAUCGGGAGGAACACCAGUGGCGAAGGCGACUACCUGGCCUGUUUCUUGACGCUGAGGCGCGAAAGCUAGGGGAGCAAACGGG
RNAcentral lists this ribosomal RNA (254 nucleotides) under uncultured bacterium. Its description in RNAcentral is "partial 16S ribosomal RNA". It matches the Rfam family "Bacterial small subunit ribosomal RNA", at positions 524 to 776 of the family's 1533-position model. The record is from RNAcentral.